Molecule: ribosomal RNA, 452 nt
Filed under: uncultured bacterium
Lineage: Bacteria
Description: bacterial SSU rRNA
Rfam family: Bacterial small subunit ribosomal RNA
Source: RNAcentral
UACGGGAGGCAGCAGUGGGGAAUAUUGCACAAUGGGCGCAAGCCUGAUGCAGCCAUGCCGCGUGUAUGAAGAAGGCCUUCGGGUUGUAAAGUACUUUCAGUCGUGAGGAAGGUGUUAAGGUUAAUAACCUUAGCAAUUGACGUUAGCGACAGAAGAAGCACCGGCUAACUCCGUGCCAGCAGCCGCGGUAAUACGGAGGGUGCGAGCGUUAAUCGGAAUUAUUGGGCGUAAAGAGCUCGUAGGCGGUUUUGUCGCGUCUGUCGUGAAAGUCCGGGGCUUAACCCCGGAUCUGCGGUGGGUACGGGCAGACUAGAGUGCAGUAGGGGAGACUGGAAUUCCUGGUGUAGCGGUGGAAUGCGCAGAUAUCAGGAGGAACACCGGAUGGCGAAGGCAGGGUCUCUGGGGCUGUAACUGACGCUGAGGAGCGAAAGCAUGGGGAGCGAACAGGGAUU